CCUACGGGAGGCAGCAGUAGGGAAUCUUCGGCAAUGGACGAAAGUCUGACCCAGCCACGCCGCGUGAGUGAAGAAGGUUUUCGGAUCGUAAAACUCUGUUGUUAGAGAAGAACAAGGACGUUAGUAUCUGAACGUCCCCUGACGGUAUCUGCCAAAACCCGC
RNAcentral lists this ribosomal RNA (162 nucleotides) under Enterococcus faecalis. RNAcentral's name for it is "partial 16S ribosomal RNA". It matches the Rfam family "Bacterial small subunit ribosomal RNA", at positions 338 to 494 of the family's 1533-position model. The record is from RNAcentral. Lineage: Bacteria; Bacillati; Bacillota; Bacilli; Lactobacillales; Enterococcaceae.